GAUGAACGCUGGCGGCGUGCCUAAUACAUGCAAGUCGAGCGAACAGACGAGGAGCUUGCUCCUCUGACGUUAGCGGCGGACGGGUGAGUAACACGUGGAUAACCUACCUAUAAGACUGGGAUAACUUCGGGAAACCGGAGCUAAUACCGGAUAAUAUAUUGAACCGCAUGGUUCAAUAGUGAAAGACGGUUUUGCUGUCACUUAUAGAUGGAUCCGCGCCGCAUUAGCUAGUUGGUAAGGUAACGGCUUACCAAGGCAACGAUGCGUAGCCGACCUGAGAGGGUGAUCGGCCACACGGGAACUGAGACACGGUCCAGCCUCCUCCGGGAGGCAGCAGUAGGGAAUCUUCCGCGAUGGGCGAGAGCUUGACGGAGCAACGCCGCGUGAGUGAUGAAGGUCUUCGGAUCGUAAAACUCUGUUAUUAGGGAAGAACAAAUGUGUAAGUAACUAUGCACGUCUUGACGGUACCUAAUCAGAAAGCCACGGCUAACUACGUG
This 497-nucleotide ribosomal RNA is filed under the name uncultured bacterium. RNAcentral's name for it is "partial 16S ribosomal RNA". It matches the Rfam family "Bacterial small subunit ribosomal RNA", at positions 28 to 507 of the family's 1533-position model. The record is from RNAcentral.